GGGGAUUUAGCUCAGUGGUAGAGCGCUUGCCUAGCAAGCACAAGGGCCUGGGUUUGGUCCCCAGCUCCG
Rattus norvegicus (Norway rat) is the source of this 69-nucleotide non-coding RNA. The record is from Rfam. Lineage: Eukaryota; Metazoa; Chordata; Mammalia; Rodentia; Muridae.